CCUACGGGGGGCUGCAGUGAGGAAUAUUGGUCAAUGGACGAGAGUCUGAACCAGCCAAGUAGCGUGAAGGAUGACUGCCCUAUGGGUUGUAAACUUCUUUUAUAUGGGAAUAAAACGUUCCACGUGUGGGAUUUUGUAUGUACCAUAUGAAUAAGGAUCGGCUAACUCCGUGCCAGCAGCCGCGGUAAUACGGAGGAUCCGAGCGUUAUCCGGAUUUAUUGGGUUUAAAGGGAGCGUAGGUGGAUUGUUAAGUCAGUUGUGAAAGUUUGCGGCUCAACCGUAAAAUUGCAGUUGAAAAUGGCAGUCUUGAGUACAGUAGAGGUGGGCGGAAUUCGUGGUGUAGCGGUGAAAUGCUUAGAUAUCACGAAGAACUCCGAUUGCGAAGGCAGUUCACUGGACUGCAACUGACACUGAGGCUCGAAAGUGUGGGUAUCAAACAGGAUUAGAUACCCCUGUAGUC
Molecule: ribosomal RNA, 460 nt
Filed under: uncultured bacterium
Lineage: Bacteria
Description: partial 16S ribosomal RNA
Rfam family: Bacterial small subunit ribosomal RNA
Source: RNAcentral